This is a long non-coding RNA of Oryza sativa Japonica Group (Japanese rice), 842 nucleotides long. RefSeq lists it as uncharacterized. Lineage: Eukaryota; Viridiplantae; Streptophyta; Magnoliopsida; Poales; Poaceae. The record is from RefSeq and is a predicted model, not a curated record.
CCUCCCUCGGGUUCCACUUUUUGUUUUCUUUUUUGUCGUAUAGUACUCCUCCUCCUAAGAGAGAGAGUUAGAGAGCGAGAGAGACACACACACACAUAGAGAGUUCCAAAGUACCAAACCCUCGCCGCCGGGGAUGUCGCCGUCGACGCCCCACCCGGGCCGCGCGCCGGCUGGCCGUUCUCCGGGACUCUUGGGCACUUACCUCCAUCCAGCUCCAGCCUCUCGCGCAGCCGUCCAUUCAUUCAACGCCAGUAUGUGAGAGAAAGAAGAAGAUAAUUUCUGGAUGGGCCAAAGCUAAUUGAGAUGGUGACGACCGAGGUGUUUCUACCAUGAAAGUUCCAACCAUGAAGAGGGUAGAAACCUCAAGUGCCAUGAAUGGAAGUUCGAGCUGAAAUGGGAAGUGAUAUGUCUAACUGACAAUAGGACUGCCCUAGGCACUAAAGGGCAAGGAACAAGGGAGUAGUACAUGGAAUGUUUGUGUUGAAUAAGGAGGUGUUUGGGUGAGAGGGACUAAAUAAGUCCCUCCCUAGGCACUACUCCAAGGAAGUUGGAACUAGUAACUAUAUCCACAGCUGUAUAUGGAAAGUCUUUGGUCUCUGCAGAGGACCAAAAUCUGUACAAGGAUUGUGUGGGUGGGGGUUCAGUUUAGUCUCUCUCCCUCUCUCUUUUUUGUUUUUCAGUUUUUGAACAGGAGUUUUAAGCCCUGUUUGGCAAAUGCUCUCUGUUUUAACUGCUAUGCAAGCCAUUUUCAUGCCUGUUGUGCAGCUUCAGGUUUUCACUGUUUUAUUGUUCAGGAUUUAUGUAGACAACCUCCUGAGAAAGUGUAAAAUGUUGUCACUUAA